This 485-nucleotide ribosomal RNA is filed under the name Callistoctopus minor (long arm octopus). Its description in RNAcentral is "partial 16S ribosomal RNA". It matches the Rfam family "Bacterial large subunit ribosomal RNA", at positions 1852 to 2552 of the family's 2925-position model. The record is from RNAcentral. Lineage: Eukaryota; Metazoa; Mollusca; Cephalopoda; Octopoda; Octopodidae.
GUUGGGCCUGCUCGGUGAGAAGAAAAAUUUAACAGCUGCGGUAUUAUAACUGUACUAAGGUAGCAUAAUAAUUUGCCUUAUAAAUUAAGGCUAGAAUGAAUGGUUUGACGAAAAUUAGACUGUCUUUAUUUUAUUUGUUAGAAAUUAAUUUUUAUAGUGAAAAAGCUUGAAUAAUUUAAGGGGACGAGAAGACCCUAUUGAGCUUUAUUUAUUAAUAUUUAAAUAUAAAUAUAUAAUUUAUAUUAUGAAAAUUAUGUUGUAUAUAUAUAUAUAUAUAUUUAAUUGGAUUUAAUUUUGAUUGGGGUGAUCAAGGAAUAAAGAUAAAGUAACUUCCUUAAAAUUAAUGAUUGUUUUUAUAGAGUAAUAAACCAAGUUUUUUGCUUAUAAGAUAAGUUACCAUAGGGGUAACAGCGUAAUUUUUUUUGAGAGUUCAUAUUGAAAAAAGAGAUUGCGACCUCGAUGUUGGAUUAAAAAUUACCUUAAGG